Molecule: ribosomal RNA, 253 nt
Filed under: uncultured bacterium
Lineage: Bacteria
Description: partial 16S ribosomal RNA
Rfam family: Bacterial small subunit ribosomal RNA
Source: RNAcentral
UACGUAGGUGGCAAGCGUUAUCCGGAUUUAUUGGGCGUAAAGAGAACGCAGGCGGUCUUUUAAGUCUGAUGUGAAAGCCUUCGGCUUAACCGGAGUAGUGCAUUGGAAACUGGGAGACUUGAGUGCAGAAGAGGAGAGCGGAACUCCAUGUGUAGCGGUGAAAUGCGUAGAUAUAUGGAAGAACACCAGUGGCGAAAGCGGCUCUCUGGUCUGUAACUGACGCUGAGGUUCGAAAGCGUGGGUAGCAAACAGG